RNAcentral lists this ribosomal RNA (1129 nucleotides) under Xylanibacter ruminicola. RNAcentral's name for it is "bacterial SSU rRNA". It matches the Rfam family "Bacterial small subunit ribosomal RNA", at positions 121 to 1251 of the family's 1533-position model. The record is from RNAcentral. Lineage: Bacteria; Pseudomonadati; Bacteroidota; Bacteroidia; Bacteroidales; Prevotellaceae.
CCAACCUUCCCUAUAGUAGAGAAUAGCCCGGCGAAAGUCGGAUUAAUGCUCUAUGUUGUAUUUAGAAGACAUCUGAAGAAUACCAAAGGUUUACCGCUAUAGGAUGGGGAUGCGUCUGAUUAGGUAGUAGGCGGGGUAACGGCCCACCUAGCCGACGAUCAGUAGGGGUUCUGAGAGGAAGGUCCCCCACAUUGGAACUGAGACACGGUCCAAACUCCUACGGGAGGCAGCAGUGAGGAAUAUUGGUCAAUGGACGGAAGUCUGAACCAGCCAAGUAGCGUGCAGGAUGACGGCCCUAUGGGUUGUAAACUGCUUUUAUAUAGGGAUAAAGUCGGGGACGUGUCCCCGUUUGUAGGUACUAUAUGAAUAAGGACCGGCUAAUUCCGUGCCAGCAGCCGCGGUAAUACGGAAGGUCCAGGCGUUAUCCGGAUUUAUUGGGUUUAAAGGGAGCGCAGGCUGAUGAUUAAGCGUGACGUGAAAUGUAGCCGCUCAACGGCUGAACUGCGUCGCGAACUGGUUAUCUUGAGUGAGUUCGAUGUUGCGGGAUUCGUGGUGUAGCGGGUGAAAUGCUUAGAUAUCACGAAGAACUCCGAUUGCGAAGGCAGCCAACAAGGCCUUUACUGACGCUAAAGCUCGAAGGUGCGGGUAUCGAACAGGAUUAGAUACCCUGGUAGUCCGCACGGUAAAACGAUGGAUGCCCGCUGUUUGCGAUAUACUGUGAGCGGCCAAGAGAAAUCGUUAAGCAUCCCACCUGGGGAGUACGCCGGCAACGGUGAAACUCAAAGGAAUUGACGGGGGCCCGCACAAGCGGAGGAACAUGUGGUUUAAUUCGAUGAUACGCGAGGAACCUUACCCCGGGCUUGAACUGCCAGCGAACGAUUCAGAGAUGAUGAGGUCUUCGGGACGCUGGUGGAGGUGCUGCAUGGUUGUCGUCAGCUCGUGCCGUGAGGUGUCGGCUUAAGUGCCAUAACGAGCGCAACCCUUUUCUUUAGUUGCCAUCAGGUAAUGCUGGGCACUCUGGAGAUACUGCCACCGUAAGGUGUGAGGAAGGUGGGGAUGACGUCAAAUCAGCACGGCCCUUACGUCCGGGGCUACACACGUGUUACAAUGGGGGGUACAGAGAGUCGGU